This 29-nucleotide non-coding RNA is filed under the name Rattus norvegicus (Norway rat). Lineage: Eukaryota; Metazoa; Chordata; Mammalia; Rodentia; Muridae. The record is from RNAcentral.
UACGUCUAAUCUAGAGGAACUUCGACUGC